GGGUGAUCUGGCUGUGAUUCUGUAACAUCCUGGUUGCCAGGGUUGAUUUGGCUAACCUGGUUGGCUAGACAAGCGUCUCUGACCUCUCUUCCUUCUCCUUGUGUGGGCUCCUGAAGUUGGACUUCUCGUGGUAGAGGACAGAUUUUCCUGGUAAAGGAGGCCUUCCUCUGUCAUAGCUGUGCUCCCUUUCUAGCACUGCCCAGUAAGCUCUCAUGGUGCAUUUGCAGGAGAAGGUGGAGCAGUAAAGCCUCCAAGAUUCCAGAUAGAUCCAAAUGAGGUGCUGCAGAUAGCAGUCUGCCUUUAUUA
Molecule: small nuclear RNA, 306 nt
Filed under: Heterocephalus glaber (naked mole-rat)
Lineage: Eukaryota; Metazoa; Chordata; Mammalia; Rodentia; Bathyergidae
Description: 7SK RNA
Rfam family: 7SK RNA
About the family: 7SK was discovered as an abundant small nuclear RNA in the mid-70s but a possible function has only recently been suggested.
Source: Rfam by way of RNAcentral